UACAGAGGGUGCAAGCGUUGUUCGGAUUCAUUGGGCGUAAAGGGUGUGUAGGUGGCGCGCUAAGUCGGGUGUGAAAUUUCGGAGCUUAACUCCGAAACUGCAUUCGAUACUGGCGUGCUUGAGGACUGGAGAGGAGACUGGAAUUCAUGGUGUAGCAGUGAAAUGCGUAGAGAUCAUGAGGAAGACCAGUGGCGAAGGCGGGGUCUCUGGACAGUUCCUGACACUGAGACACGAAGGCCAGGGGAGCAAACGGG
This 254-nucleotide ribosomal RNA is filed under the name uncultured bacterium. Its description in RNAcentral is "partial 16S ribosomal RNA". It matches the Rfam family "Bacterial small subunit ribosomal RNA", at positions 524 to 776 of the family's 1533-position model. The record is from RNAcentral.